RNAcentral lists this microRNA precursor (67 nucleotides) under Macaca mulatta (Rhesus monkey). Its description in RNAcentral is "Mml-Mir-3140_pre stem-loop". Lineage: Eukaryota; Metazoa; Chordata; Mammalia; Primates; Cercopithecidae. The record is from RNAcentral.
ACCUGAAUUACCAAAAGCUAUGUAUUCUGAAGUUAUUGAAAAUAAGAGCUUUUGGGAAUUCAGGUAG